This 370-nucleotide ribosomal RNA is filed under the name uncultured Clostridium sp. RNAcentral's name for it is "bacterial SSU rRNA". It matches the Rfam family "Bacterial small subunit ribosomal RNA", at positions 1011 to 1382 of the family's 1533-position model. The record is from RNAcentral. Lineage: Bacteria; Bacillati; Bacillota; Clostridia; Eubacteriales; Clostridiaceae.
AAAGUCCCUUCGGGGACAAGGUGACAGGUGGUGCAUGGUUGUCGUCAGCUCGUGUCGUGAGAUGUUCGGGUUAAGUCCCGCAACGAGCGCAACCCUUGUCGUUAGUUACUACCAUUAAGUUGAGGACUCUAGCGAGACUGCCUGGGUUAACCAGGAGGAAGGUGGGGAUGACGUCAAAUCAUCAUGCCCCUUAUGUGUAGGGCUACACACGUGCUACAAUGGCUGGUACAGAGAGAUGCAAUACCGCGAGGUGGAGCCAAACUUUAAAACCAGUCUCAGUUCGGAUUGUAGGCUGAAACUCGCCUACAUGAAGCUGGAGUUACUAGUAAUCGCGAAUCAGAAUGUCGCGGUGAAUACGUUCCCGGGUCUU